Molecule: ribosomal RNA, 1950 nt
Filed under: human gut metagenome
Description: bacterial LSU rRNA
Rfam family: Bacterial large subunit ribosomal RNA
Source: RNAcentral
UUAAAGUAGUAAGGGCGCAGGGUGGAUGCCUUGGCACUAAGAGCCGAUGAAAGACGUGAUAAGCUGCGAAAAGCUUCGGGGAGGAGCACAUAUCCAAUGAUCCGGAGAUAUCUGAAUGGGGAAACCCGGCAGAGGAAACCUCUGUCAGCGUGCAGUGAAUACAUAGCUGUACGUGGGGAACCCGGGGAACUGAAACAUCUAAGUACCCGGAGGAAGAGAAAGAAAAUUUAUCGAUUUCCAAAGUAGCGGCGAGCGAAAUGGAAAGAGCCCAAACCGUGAUGCGUGCAUCGCGGGGUUCGGACUGCGUUGUGGCAGACGUAAGAUAGGAGAACGGACUGGGAAGUCCGGCCGGAGAGAGUGAAAGCCUCGUAUCCGAAAUCCCAAGUCGCCUAGCAGGAUCCAGAGUAGGACGAGACACGAGAAACCUUGUCUGAACGAGCGGGGACCACCCCGUAAGGCUAAAUACUUCUUAGUGACCGAUAGCGCAUAGUACUGUGAAGGAAAGGUGAAAAGUACCCCGGGAGGGGAGUGAAAGAGAACCUGAAACCCUGUGUCUACAAGCUGUGGGACCUCUUUAUAUGAGGGACUGCGUACUUUUUGUAGAACGGUCCGGCGAGUUGUGCGUACUGGCGAGGUUAAGGACUUAAGGUCUGGAGCCGAAGUGAAAGCAAGCGUUAAUAGCGCGUCAAGUCAGUGAGUGCAGACCCGAAACCGGGUGACCUAUCCAUGUCCAGGUUGAAGCUUCCGUAAGAGGAAGUGGAGGACCGAACCCACAUCCGUUGAAAAGGGUGGGGAUGAGGUGUGGAUAGCGGAGAAAUUCCAAUCGAACCCGGAGAUAGCUGGUUCUCCUCGAAAUAGCUUUAGGGCUAGCCUCAUGAGAGUCUUAUGGAGGUAGAGCACUGAAUUGCCUAGGGGGCGUCAAAGCUUACCAAAGCAUAUCAAACUCCGAAUGCCAUCAAGAUGAUUCAUGGGAGUCAGACCAUACGAGAUAAGUUGGAUGGUCAAAAGGGAAAGAGCCCAGACCUACAGCUAAGGUCCCAAAGUGCGUGUUAAGUGGAAAAGGAUGUGGGGAUUCUAAGACAACUAGGACGUUGGCUUAGAAGCAGCCAUUCAUUGAAAGAGUGCGUAAUAGCUCACUAGUCGAGAGUCCCUGCGCCGAAAAUGUCCGGGGCUGAAACACGACACCGAAGCUUAGGAAUGUGUAAACAUUGGUAGAGGAGCAUUGUUAGCGGGAUGAAGCCAUACCGUAAGGAGUGGUGGACUGCUAAGAAGAGAGAAUGCCGGAAUGAGUAGCGAGAUGAAGGUGAGAAUCCUUCAGGCCGAAUAUCUAAGGUUUCCAGAGUAAAGCUGAUCUGCUCUGGGUAAGUCGGGACCUAAGGCGAGGUCGAAAGACGUAGUCGAUGGAUAACAGGUUGAAAUUCCUGUACCGCAUAUAAACAGAACUGUGGGGACACAGACAGGGAAUGGAAUCCGGGAAUGGAUAUCCCGGUGCAAGCGAGGUAGGAGUGCUGCUGGCAAAUCCGCAGCAUGAUCUGAAGACGUGAUGCGUACCGAACAUAAGUAGGGAAGUCCAGGCCCCUGGCUGUCAAGAAAAGCCGCUAUUGUUUUAUAUGUGCCCGUACCGCAAACCGACACAGGUGGAUGAGGAGAGAAUCCUAAGGCCGACGGGAGAAGUAUUGUUAAGGAACUCGGCAAAAUGACUCCGUAACUUCGGGAGAAGGAGUGCCAUGAGAGUGGCCGCAGAGAAAUGGCCCAAGCAACUGUUUAGCAAAAACACAGGUCUAUGCAAAACCGCAAGGUGAAGUAUAUGGGCUGACGCCUGCCCGGUGCUGGAAGGUUAAGGGGAGAGGUUAGCGCAAGCGAAGCUUUGAACUUAAGCCCCAGUAAACGGCGGCCGUAACUAUAACGGUCCUAAGGUAGCGAAAUUCCUUGUCGGGUAAGUUCCGACCC